ACCUACGGGGGGCAGCAGUGAGGAAUAUUGGUCAAUGGGCGCGAGCCUGAACUAGCCAAGUAGCGUGAAGGAUGACGGCCCUAUGGGUUGUAAACUUCUUUUAUAUGGGAAUAAAGUUUGGUAUGCAUACCAUUUUGUAUGUACCAUAUGAAUAAGGAUCGGCUAACUCCGUGCCAGCAGCCGCGGUAAUACGGAGGAUCCGAGCGUUAUCCGGAUUUAUUGGGUUUAAAGGGAGCGUAGGUGGAUUGUUAAGUCAGUUGUGAAAGUUUGCGGCUCAACCGUAAAAUUGCAGUUGAAACUGGCAG
RNAcentral lists this ribosomal RNA (305 nucleotides) under uncultured bacterium. RNAcentral describes it as "bacterial SSU rRNA". It matches the Rfam family "Bacterial small subunit ribosomal RNA", at positions 337 to 639 of the family's 1533-position model. The record is from RNAcentral.